This 484-nucleotide ribosomal RNA is filed under the name uncultured bacterium. Its description in RNAcentral is "partial 16S ribosomal RNA". It matches the Rfam family "Bacterial small subunit ribosomal RNA", at positions 30 to 507 of the family's 1533-position model. The record is from RNAcentral.
AUUGAACGCUGGCGGCAGGCCUAACACAUGCAAGUCGAGCGGAUGAAGGGAGCUUGCUCCUGGAUUCAGCGGCGGACGGGUGAGUAAUGCCUAGGAAUCUGCCUGGUAGUGGGGGAUAACGUCCGGAAACGGGCGCUAAUACCGCAUACGUCCUGAGGGAGAAAGUGGGGGAUCUUCGGACCUCACGCUAUCAGAUGAGCCUAGGUCGGAUUAACUAGUUGGUGGGGUAAAGGCCUACCAAGGCGACGAUCCGUAACUGGUCUGAGAGGAUGAUCAGUCACACUGGAACUGAGACACGGUCAAGACGACUACGGGAGGCAGCAGUGGGGAAUAUGGGACAAUGGGCGAAAGCAUGAUCCAGCCAUGCCGCGUGUGUGAAGAAGGUCUUCGGAUUGUAAAGAACUUUAAGUUGGGAGGAAGGGCAGUAAGUUAAUACCUUGCUGUUUUGACGUUACCAACAGAAUAAGCACCGGCUAACUUCGUG